Molecule: transfer-messenger RNA, 385 nt
Filed under: Helicobacter pylori
Lineage: Bacteria; Pseudomonadati; Campylobacterota; Epsilonproteobacteria; Campylobacterales; Helicobacteraceae
Also listed under: 1 other name
Description: Standard tmRNA
Rfam family: transfer-messenger RNA
About the family: Bacterial tmRNA, also known as 10Sa RNA or SsrA, is named for its dual tRNA and mRNA-like properties. Its role is to liberate the mRNA from a stalled ribosome. To accomplish this part of the tmRNA is used as a reading frame that ends in a translation stop signal.
Source: RNAcentral
GGGGCUGACUUGGAUUUCGACAGAUUUCUUGUCGCACAGAUAGCAUGCCAAGUGCUGCUUGUAAAACAGCAACAAAAAUAACUGUAAACAACACAGAUUACGCUCCAGCUUACGCUAAAGCCGCGUGAGUUAAUCUCCUUUUGGAGCUGGACUGAUUAGAAUUUCUAGCGUUUUAAUCACUUCAUAACCUUAAGCUAGACGCUUUUAAAAGGUGGUUCGCCUUUUAAACUAAGAAACAAGAACUCUUGAAGCUACCUCAAGGUUUUAGAAAGUUGGACCAGAGCUAGUUUUAAGGCUAAAAACUAACCAAUUUUCUAAGCAUUGUAGAAGUUUGUGUUUAGGGCAAGAUUUUUGGACUGGGGUUCGAUUCCCCACAGCUCCACCA